This is a long non-coding RNA of Syngnathus acus (greater pipefish), 713 nucleotides long. RefSeq lists it as uncharacterized. The record is from RefSeq and is a predicted model, not a curated record. Lineage: Eukaryota; Metazoa; Chordata; Actinopteri; Syngnathiformes; Syngnathidae. The transcript is spliced from 2 exons.
UUAUGGAGGGCGGGGGGUCAAGUUUGAGGUAUAGCUGGGUGUCGUCCGCAUAACAAUGAUAUGAGAUGCCGAACUUCCUGAUUAUAUUGCCGAGGGUGAAGAGGGUAGGACCGAGUACAGAUCCCUGGGGGACACCGGAGGUGACAGUGUGAGUGUCGGAUUUUUUCCCCCCCAGGGAAACGUACUCGGUCCGGUUCGAGAGGUAGGACUGAAGCCAGGUUAGAGCAGUGCCAGAGAAUCCAUUGGAGUGAAGUUGGUUAAGGAGGAUAUUGUGGUGGACAGUGUCAAAUGCAGCGGACAGAUCCAACAGGAUGAGAAGUGACGGGGAGCCUGCAUCGGCAGCCAUGAGAAGGUCGUUGGUGACCCUAACAAGUGCUGUUUCAGUGCUGUGGCCAGAGCGAAACCCGGAUUGAAAUUUCUCAGCGAUGUUAUUGCGGGGGAGAUGAGUGUGAAGUUGGGCAGCUACCACUUUUUCCAGAACCUUGGAGAGGAACGGGAGGUUAGAUAUUGGUCUGUAGUUGGCAAGGUUGUCCGGGUCAAGUGAGGGUUUUUUGAGCAGGGGGGUAAUAAUGGCAGUCUUCAAUGCAGGGGGUACAGAGCCAGACUGGAGUGAGAGGUUGAUGACAUUGGUUAUUAGGGGACUAAUGGCUGAGGUUUGUUGUUUAAUGAGGGCUGUGGGGAAAGGGUCCAGGGCACAUGUGGAGGGUUUCAUC